GGGGCUGUAGCUCAGCGGUAGAGCGCAUGCCUAGCAUGUGUGAGGCACUGAGUUCAAUCCUCAGCACCA
This 69-nucleotide transfer RNA is filed under the name Ictidomys tridecemlineatus (thirteen-lined ground squirrel). RNAcentral describes it as "Spermophilus tridecemlineatus (thirteen-lined ground squirrel) tRNA". It matches the Rfam family "tRNA". From Rfam's summary of the family: Transfer RNA (tRNA) molecules are approximately 80 nucleotides in length. Their secondary structure includes four short double-helical elements and three loops (D, anti-codon, and T loops). Lineage: Eukaryota; Metazoa; Chordata; Mammalia; Rodentia; Sciuridae. The record is from Rfam by way of RNAcentral.